RNAcentral lists this ribosomal RNA (253 nucleotides) under uncultured bacterium. RNAcentral describes it as "partial 16S ribosomal RNA". It matches the Rfam family "Bacterial small subunit ribosomal RNA", at positions 524 to 776 of the family's 1533-position model. The record is from RNAcentral.
UACGAAGGGGGCUAGCGUUGUUCGGAUUUACUGGGCGUAAAGCGCACGUAGGCGGAUCUUUAAGUCGGGGGUGAAAUCCCGGGGCUCAACCCCGGAACUGCCUUCGAUACUGGGGAUCUUGAGUCCGGAAGAGGUGAGUGGAACUCCUAGUGUAGAGGUGGAAUUCGUAGAUAUUAGGAAGAACACCAGUGGCGAAGGCGGCGCACUGGUCCGGUACUGACGCGGAGGUGCGAAAGCGUGGGGAGCAAACAGG